Molecule: non-coding RNA, 1786 nt
Organism: Chrysemys picta bellii (western painted turtle)
Lineage: Eukaryota; Metazoa; Chordata; Testudines; Emydidae
Source: RefSeq, a predicted model, not a curated record
UUCAACAUCGGCCUCGGUUGGCUUCCCGCUCGCUCAUGCUGACCGCGCAGGUUAGAGGUGCGGAGGGUGGAUCAGGCCCGGAGCGGAGGUCUCAGGCUGGGAGCGGGGAUUGCCCCUGAAGUGCAACGCAAAGUGGGGGCAGGGAAGCGGCUCGGGAGGAGCCCGGGCAGGGUGGCUUGCACCAUGGAUGGGCGUGUGAGGACGAACGGAGGGGCCUGGGCAUGGUGCGCUGCGAACGGGCUGGGCGAAGGAGCCUAGGCAGGGAAGCAACAGAGGGUCCUGUGGCACCUUUGAGACUAACAGAAGUAUGGGGAGCAUAAGCUUUCGUGGUCACUGCUUUACCAAGAGAACUGAGAAGGGAAAAGGAACUGCUUUACCAGGAAAAGGCACUAACACACAAGAACAGAAUGCAGGAGACACAGCACAUAAAGGAAACACCUAAAGGAAAACAUCAGUCUGCAAAAACAGGGCAUUGCUGGAAACAGGGGUGAACUAAUUAAAGAGGAGACUAAAACAAAGGUUUUCCCCUUCAGAGGUGCUCUGCAAGUGAUUUUUUUUAACUGAACUUGUUCCCUUUUUUACUUCCUAUGAUACAAAGAACUUAGAAAACUUUUUCCUUUAUUAAAGAUUGUUCUGUUCCUUAUCUUAAGUGCCAGGAAUGUCAACUCUACUCUUCCUUAGUUUUGCUGCAAGAUCCACUUGAUAUCUCAAAGAAUGUAUAUUGUUAACUCUUACACCCUAACUUAAUGGAUGGAAGAUGGUGAAUCUUUACUGUUUUGGAGAAAGAAUAUUGCUAGUGAUUCAAGUUAAAAAGGUGUUAACAAAAAAAAUUUAAACAGUCAUCAGACCUAUUUCCUGUUAUUUGUUUAAAUGUUAUUUCAAUCUUGGCCUGCGUUUUCCAAACAUGGAUGCCUGAAGUUAGGUGCCAAAAACCAUAUUUAGCUCCUAAAAUAAAAAGUGGUGAUAGGUACUGGCAGCUCCUAGUGACUUCAGUAUGUGAAGAGAGGAUAUUCGUGAAACCUACAGAAGAAUUCUGUGUAUGAGGUCAAAAUAUUGCAACACAUGGAAUAUUGCAACAGUUUGUAAAUGAUGUGAUAAAGAAGUAGCUGGAUAUGGGUAGGAGGCUAUUACAUCAAAUUCAACACAGAACACAGCCUAUAAACAAAAGAGAUCAUACUGGAUUAUUUCCUUCUGAAUGAUCAUUUUAAAACAAUAUGAUAUCAGCACUGGCCAUGGCCAUUAUGAGUUUCAGAGUGUACAGUUAAAAUGCUAAUGGAUAUGAAAAGGGAAACUUGGCAACCAGUAGAACACUGAUUUUUUUUUAAAGCAAAAUGUUAAUUUAGAAGGUAUACUUAUGUGCUGGUCUCUUAUUACCCUUGCACUACCAUGUGUCCCUAUUAUAAGCUUCUCUUUGUUUCUCACAGCUAAUACAAUGAAGGGGGAGGCAAUGGCAAAUAAUGGGCUGAGUGACAUCAGACUGAAAAUGCAGAUGUCAGACAAAACGGAUAUACAGCUUGGCUAACGAAGCCAGAGCCUGCAGCAAGAAGUUGUCAAUAAUGCUUUGCUAUAUCAAGUUAUUUAACAUUUACAAAAUUCACUGCAAAAAUUUACUGUUAAUGCAACAUCGUUGUUGAGAAUUUACAGUAUCUGCAAAGGAGACAGGAAAUUCAGACUACUCCAGCUUUACCUGUAACAAAAUGCUCAGCAGCUCAGGUUGCUAUGUGUAUGUCAUUCUGGUGCUCCAGUCACUCAGCUGGCUUGCCAUUGAAUAAAGAGUCCAAUUUAA